This is a long non-coding RNA of Dermochelys coriacea (leatherback sea turtle), 154 nucleotides long. RefSeq lists it as uncharacterized. The record is from RefSeq and is a predicted model, not a curated record. Lineage: Eukaryota; Metazoa; Chordata; Testudines; Dermochelyidae. The transcript has 3 exons.
AAUGAAGAGUUCCAGGUGCCCAGAGCAGUAAAAUUGAGCUUCCUAUGGGAAACUCCAUCAGGGAACCACUCCCGUAUUGAUGAUCAAUCCAUGAGAGGCCAACAGACUCUAACACCAUUUAGGAGGAUGUGAGUAUGUCUGUAGGUAUAACUGG